Molecule: non-coding RNA, 206 nt
Filed under: Oscillospiraceae bacterium
Lineage: Bacteria; Bacillati; Bacillota; Clostridia; Eubacteriales; Oscillospiraceae
Description: 6S RNA
Rfam family: 6S / SsrS RNA
About the family: E. coli 6S RNA was the first non coding RNA to be sequenced, but its function was unknown until recently.
Source: RNAcentral
GUUUCCCUGCAAAGUGCGUGAUGUGUCUAUUAUGUACCACAAUAGCAAACAGGGACGCCGGAUAAACUCUUGCCGUGAAUUGCAGGCCUCCCGCCCGGCUUAAAUGUGUCGGCGCGGACGUUGGAAGCAGAGAAGCGGCGGGGAGGCGACCCACCUGCCAUAAGUGCAGGUUACUAACGGACGCACACGGCUUACGCGGGGAAUCU